Molecule: ribosomal RNA, 292 nt
Filed under: uncultured bacterium
Lineage: Bacteria
Description: partial 16S ribosomal RNA
Rfam family: Bacterial small subunit ribosomal RNA
Source: RNAcentral
GUGACAGCCGCCGCGGUAAUACGGGGGGCGCAAACGUUGUUCGGAAUCACUGGGCGUAAAGGGCGCGUAGGCGGCUGUGCAAGUCAGAUGUGAAAGCCCGCGGCUUAACCGCGGAAUUGCAUCUGAAACUGCACGGCUUGAGUAUGGGAGAGGAAAGUGGAAUUCCCGGUGUAGAGGUGAAAUUCGUAGAUAUCGGGAGGAACACCAGUAGCGAAGGCGACUUUCUGGCCCAAUACUGACGCUGAGGCGCGAAAGCGUGGGGAGCAAACAGGAUUAGAAACCCUAGUAGUCC